This 550-nucleotide ribosomal RNA is filed under the name Suillus granulatus. RNAcentral's name for it is "eukaryotic LSU rRNA". It matches the Rfam family "Eukaryotic large subunit ribosomal RNA", at positions 56 to 610 of the family's 3401-position model. The record is from RNAcentral. Lineage: Eukaryota; Fungi; Basidiomycota; Agaricomycetes; Boletales; Suillaceae.
GACUAACAAGGAUUCCCCUAGUAACUGCGAGUGAACCGGGAAAAGCUCAAAUUUUGAAUCUGGCGGUCUUUCGGCCGUCCGAGUUGUAAUCUAGAGAAGCGUCUUCCGCGCUGGACCGUGUAUAAGUUUCCUGGAAUGGAACGUCGUAGAGGGUGAGAAUCCCGUCUUUGACACGGACUGCCAGGGCUAUGUGAUGCGCUCUCGACGAGUCGAGUUGUUUGGGAAUGCAGCUCAAAUAGGGUGGUAAAUUCCAUCUAAAGCUAAAUACAGGCGAGAGACCGAUAGCGAACAAGUACCGUGAGGGAAAGAUGAAAAGAACUUUGGAAAGAGAGUUAAACAGUACGUGAAAUUGCUGAAAGGGAAACGCUUGAUGUCAGUCGCGUCGGCCGGGGAUCAGCCUUGCUCUUUUGCUCGGUGUAUUUCCUGGUCGACGGGUCAGCAUCGGUUUCGACCGUCGGAAAAUGGCUCGAGGAAUGUGGCACUCUUCGGAGUGUGUUAUAGACUCGGGUCGAAUACGACGAUCGGGACCGAGGAACUCAGCACGACCUUA